GAUGAAGAACGCAGCGAAAUGCGAUAAGUAAUGUGAAUUGCAGAAUUCAGUGAAUCAUCGAAUCUUUGAACGCACAUUGCGCCCAUUAGUAUUCUAGUGGGCAUGCCUGUUCGAGCGUCAUUUCAACCCCUAAGCACAGCUUAUUGUUGGGAACCUACGGCUUCGUAGUUCCUCAAAGACAUUGGCGGAGUGGCAGUGGUCCUCUGAGCGUAGUAAUCUUUUAUCUCGCUUCUGUUAGGUGCUGCCCCCCCGGCCGUAAAACCCCCAAUUUUUUCUGGUUGACCUCGGAUCAGGUAGGAAUACCCGCUGAACUUAAGCAUAUCAAUAAGCGGAGGA
This 336-nucleotide unclassified non-coding RNA is filed under the name soil metagenome. Its description in RNAcentral is "partial contains 5.8S ribosomal RNA, internal transcribed spacer 2, and large subunit ribosomal RNA". The stretch from base 1 to 120 matches the Rfam family "5.8S ribosomal RNA", at positions 35 to 154 of the family's 154-position model. The record is from RNAcentral.